This 377-nucleotide ribosomal RNA is filed under the name uncultured bacterium. Its description in RNAcentral is "bacterial SSU rRNA". It matches the Rfam family "Bacterial small subunit ribosomal RNA", at positions 523 to 898 of the family's 1533-position model. The record is from RNAcentral.
AAACGUAGGAGGCGAACGUUAUCCGGAUUUACUGGGCGUAAAGCGCGUGUAGGUGGUUUGGUAAGUAGGGCGUGAAAGCUCCUGGCUCAACUGGGAGAGGUCGUUCUAAACUGCCGGACUAGAGGAUGGUAGAGGGAGGUGGAAUUCCGGGUGUAGCGGUGGAAUGCGCAGAUAUCCGGAGGAACACCAGUGGCGAAAGCGGCCUCCUGGACCACUCCUGACACUCAGACGCGAAAGCUAGGGUAGCAAACGGGAUUAGAGACCCCGGUAGUCCUAGCCGUAAACGAUGUAGACUUGGCGUCGGUGGUUUAAUAUCCAUCGGUGUCGAAGCUAACGCGAUAAGUCUACCGCCUGGGGACUACGGCCGCAAGGUUAAA